RNAcentral lists this ribosomal RNA (368 nucleotides) under uncultured bacterium. Its description in RNAcentral is "bacterial SSU rRNA". It matches the Rfam family "Bacterial small subunit ribosomal RNA", at positions 29 to 424 of the family's 1533-position model. The record is from RNAcentral.
AACGAACGCUGGCGGCAUGCCUAACACAUGCAAGUCGAACGAGACCUUCGGGUCUAGUGGCGCACGGGUGCGUAACGCGUGGGAAUCUGCCCUUGGGUUCGGAAUAACAGUUGGAAACGACUGCUAAUACCGGAUGAUGACGUAAGUCCAAAGAUUUAUCGCCCAAGGAUGAGCCCGCGUAGGAUUAGCUAGUUGGUGAGGUAAAGGCUCACCAAGGCGACGAUCCUUAGCUGGUCUGAGAGGAUGAUCAGCCACACUGGGACCGAGACACGGCCCAGACUCCUACGGGAGGCAGCAGUGGGGAAUAUUGGACAAUGGGCGAAAGCCUGAUCCAGCAAUGCCGCGUGAGUGAUGAAGGCCUUAGGGUG